RNAcentral lists this ribosomal RNA (439 nucleotides) under uncultured bacterium. RNAcentral describes it as "partial 16S ribosomal RNA". It matches the Rfam family "Bacterial small subunit ribosomal RNA", at positions 339 to 795 of the family's 1533-position model. The record is from RNAcentral.
CUACGGGGGGCAGCAGUGGGGAAUAUUGCACAAUGGAGGAAACUCUGAUGCAGCAACGCCGCGUGGAGGAUGACACAUUUCGGUGCGUAAACUCCUUUUAUGUGAGAAGAUAAUGACGGUAUCACAUGAAUAAGCACCGGCUAACUCCGUGCCAGCAGCCGCGGUAAUACGGAGGGUGCAAGCGUUACUCGGAAUCACUGGGCGUAAAGCGCGCGCAGGCGGCUUUUCAAGUUGGAUGUGAAAUCCUAUGGCUUAACCAUAGAACUGCAUCCAAGACUGUUAAGCUAGAGUCUGGGAGGGGAAGAUGGAAUUAGUUGUGUAGGGGUAAAAUCCGUAGAGAUAACUAGGAAUACCAAAAGCGAAGGCGAUCUUCUGGAACAGUACUGACGCUGAGGCGCGAAAGCGUGGGGAGCAAACAGGAUUAGAUACCCGUGUAGUC